RNAcentral lists this ribosomal RNA (464 nucleotides) under Vreelandella stevensii. Its description in RNAcentral is "partial 16S ribosomal RNA". It matches the Rfam family "Bacterial small subunit ribosomal RNA", at positions 338 to 795 of the family's 1533-position model. Lineage: Bacteria; Pseudomonadati; Pseudomonadota; Gammaproteobacteria; Oceanospirillales; Halomonadaceae. The record is from RNAcentral.
CCUACGGGAGGCUGCAGUGGGGAAUAUUGGACAAUGGGCGAAAGCCUGAUCCAGCCAUGCCGCGUGUGUGAAGAAGGCCUUCGGGUUGUAAAGCACUUUCAGUGGGGAAGAAAGCCUUGGGGCUAAUACCCUCGAGGAAGGACAUCACCCACAGAAGAAGCACCGGCUAACUCCGUGCCAGCAGCCGCGGUAAUACGGAGGGUGCGAGCGUUAAUCGGAAUUACUGGGCGUAAAGCGCGCGUAGGCGGUCUGAUAAGCCGGUUGUGAAAGCCCCGGGCUCAACCUGGGAACGGCAUCCGGAACUGUCAGGCUAGAGUGCAGGAGAGGAAGGUAGAAUUCCCGGCGUAGCGGUGAAAUGCGUAGAGAUCGGGAGGAAUACCAGUGGCGAAGGCGGCCUUCUGGACUGACACUGACGCUGAGGUGCGAAAGCGUGGGUAGCAAACAGGAUUAGAUACCCUGUAGUC